Molecule: ribosomal RNA, 413 nt
Filed under: uncultured bacterium
Lineage: Bacteria
Description: bacterial SSU rRNA
Rfam family: Bacterial small subunit ribosomal RNA
Source: RNAcentral
CUGCCAGCCGCCGCGGUAACACGGAGGGUGCAAGCGUUACCCGGAUUUACUGGGCGUAAAGGGCGCGUAGGCGGUCGCGCAAGUCGGGUGUGAAAGCCCCGGGCUCAACCUGGGAAUUGCAUUCGAUACUGCGUAACUAGAGUCUGGUAGAGGGAAGCGGAAUUCCGCAUGUAGCGGUGAAAUGCGUAGAUAUGCGGAGGAACACCAGUGGCGAAGGCGGCUUCCUGGACCAAGACUGACGCUGAGGCGCGAAAGCGUGGGGAGCAAACAGGAUUAGAUACCCUGGUAGUCCACGCCCUAAACGAUGAGGACUAGACGUUGGGGGGAUAAAACCCUUUAGUGUCGCAGCUAACGCGUGAAGUCCUCCGCCUGGGGAGUACGGCCGCAAGGUUGAAACUCAAAUGAAUUGACGG